UUCCACCGAACACAUUAUUUUAAAUAGAACAAAGAUCGCCAAAAAAAUUAUGCAUCUCUCCCGACAAGCCAUUUUGAGCUUCUUUCGCGGCAGUCAGAUUAUCUCUGGCUGGUUUUUCACACAGAGCGUUUGAUACUCAGGAAGGCGAGCUUGCAAGAAAUAUGAACAACUAAACGUAGCUCCCACUUAGCACAGUUCUCUGCUUAGAGCACACAAUCGUACUGAAACACGAGGCUGGGCAGCAGCUCAGUAUGCUCAAGGAUUACAGCUGCAGACGUUUUCACAGAUCAUUUAGUGUCGUGUUCUACUGUCGGAACGGUGGAGAAAUUAUUUUCAAAACGAUGAGCUACGACGAUCUGACCGAAUUGGCAGGAUAUUCCGAGGCCAUAGAUACUCCCCGACCGCAAUUUAGUGCCCAUUCCAUCAAUUAAUGAAAAUAAAAAAAAAUUAAAAAAAAAAAAAAAAAAAGAACAUGUUAUAAACUUUUUUUACUUCGUCUUUGAAUAUUGAUAAGAAAAGAGCCGUAACAGCUAUAUUAUACGUCAUGAAUAAACUGUUAAGAAACUGUGCCGCCAACAAUGCAACCCCACAAAUAAAAAUUGUGCAAAUUGUAAAAAAGAGGUAUAACACCUACAUUAUAGGUAUGUCAUGAAUAAAGUAUUGAGAAACUGUGCCGCCAACAAUGCAACCCCGC
This 694-nucleotide unclassified non-coding RNA is filed under the name Athalia rosae (coleseed sawfly). Its description in RNAcentral is "misc RNA ENSAEAG00005000366.1". Lineage: Eukaryota; Metazoa; Arthropoda; Insecta; Hymenoptera; Athaliidae. The record is from RNAcentral.